This is a long non-coding RNA of Nothoprocta perdicaria, 907 nucleotides long. RefSeq lists it as uncharacterized. The record is from RefSeq and is a predicted model, not a curated record. NCBI's taxonomy places the organism in Eukaryota, Metazoa, Chordata, Aves, Tinamiformes, Tinamidae. The transcript is spliced from 2 exons.
ACAUAAAUAUAUACCAAUCACAUCAACAUAUAUGUUUUAUGUGUUGUGUUUUAUUGUUUUGCUGUGUAAUGUGAAUAUCUAGGAAUUCUGUGAAAUCCGGGAACUCCAAGAAUAUAUACAAGACAAAGAGUGUGGUAGCGUUAUCUUGAAUCACAUCUGGAAAAACAUCACACAGAUGCCACAUCCUGAAAGAAUUUUAGUCUGCAUCUGAAGUAAAUAAACYACGUUAUCUUUGUUAGCAGAUAUGCGUGAGGACUGUUAACUGCCUUGAUGGGUGGUCUACAGAUAAGCAGGAUACAAGCUAAAGAGAAAAGCAGCUGCUGCUGGGAAGAUCAGUCAUGCUCUGAGCAGGGACAGAAUCACCCUGGACUGCCUCCAUGCAAGAAGCACUCUGAAUUUAUUGUCUUUCUCACCACUGGGCAUGCAGAACUGAUCCUUCUGGUAUCCUGAUGGGUACGUCUACGUAUGAAUAAUGGCAAUGCUUCUUAGUGAGAAAAAGGUAAAGUGGGGACAAGGACGGGUUCCUGAACACCAGCUCACUGACAGAACACCAGGAGCUUGAAGAGGUCCCAUGUCACGGGGCUGCUGCUGCACUUGCAAAGCGGUGAGGGAACAGCAGCUGUGGGCAUGACUGCGAUGUGAGCGAUGUGAAACCUGGAAAUUUAAGAGGAGAAAACUGAUGAAGCAAACAAGCACACAAGACUUCAGUUGUUUAUUAUUGGGCUCUGAGAGCGUACAUUCAGCCGCGGCCAAGCCACUUCCCACCAAGAGGAGGAACUGCGCAUGGUGGCGCUGGCCUCAUGCUGGUCUGCGGACGCAACACAAAGCCCCAGUGUUCCCACCAUAGCACAGAGGGAAAGUGAUACGUGUCACCACAGCCCCAAACCCUCACUGAACUCCAGAAGUC